RNAcentral lists this ribosomal RNA (497 nucleotides) under uncultured bacterium. RNAcentral's name for it is "partial 16S ribosomal RNA". It matches the Rfam family "Bacterial small subunit ribosomal RNA", at positions 28 to 507 of the family's 1533-position model. The record is from RNAcentral.
GAUGAACGCUGGCGGCGUGCCUAAUACAUGCAAGUCGAGCGAACAGACGAGGAGCUUGCUCCUCUGACGUUAGCGGCGGACGGGUGAGUAACACGUGGAUAACCUACCUAUAAGACUGGGAUAACUUCGGGAAACCGGAGCUAAUACCGGAUAAUAUAUUGCACCGCAUGGUUCAAUAGUGAAAGACGGUUUUGCUGUCACUUAUAGCUGGAUCCGCGCCGCAUUAGCUAGUUGGUAAGGUAACGGCUUACCAAGGCAACGAUGCGUAGCCGACCUGAGAGGGUGAUCGGCCACACUGGAACUGAGACACGGUCCAGACGCCUACGGGAGGCAGCAGUAGGGAAUCUUCCGCAAUGGGCGAAAGCCUGACGGAGCAACGCCGCGUGAGUGAUGAAGGUCUUCGGAUCGUAAAACUCUGUUAUUAGGGAAGAACAAAUGUGUAAGUAACUAUGCACGUCUUGACGGUACCUAAUCAGAAAGCCACGGCUAACUACGUG